GCGUGAUGACACGCGCUUCAACUCCGCUUCACUACACAGAAAGAGCGCUUCUUCUUUCGAAGUUUCAAACUCUCCUCUCACUUUCUCUCCUCUCAGUACUGUUUGUUUCCCGAUAUUUUUUCAAAAGGGAAAAGCAAGAGAGAACAAUGGUAUCAAGCGUUGAACUCGUUUAUCUUCGUUUGUAGAUUAACGAGUCUCUGGUUCUAUUUCUCGUAUCGUGUGUGCAUACUCGUGCUAGAGCGAGAUAUCGAUUGCGAAGUUUAGAGUGAAUGAGUGUGAUUGGGAGAGCGAUGCCGCGAUCCAAUUCCGCCGCGCACCACCACCGUCAGAGCUCCGACAACUUCAUCCUCGACGCUCACAGAAACUGGUUACAGUCUUCGACUUUCGCGCAGGAGUUCGGGACUCGAUCUUCGAGCUUGAGGAAAAUUGACGAUGAUCGUGUUUUGAGCAGUGGCUUGCUUGAUCUGCAUUCCUUAGAUACCGAGCUUUUACCUGAGACGUAUGGUGAUCACAAUGAAUACUUGACUAAUCACACUGUUCGGGGACAGAGUUUUGAUGACUAUGAGUCAAUCCUCCCUGGUAACAAACAUGGACAGAGGUCUCGGGGAUUGCCUGAGAACAAUUUCCUGAAAAGUGUCCCAACAGAAAAAGAAAGAGCAAACAAUGUUGCCAAGAUUAAAGUAGCGGUCCGGAAGAGACCCCUUAAUAAGAAGGAAAUAGCAAAGAGGGAGGAAGACAUUAUUUCUAUAGAUUCAAAUUUUCUCACAGUGCAUGAAAGAAAACUCAAGGUGGACUUAACAGAAUAUGUUGAGAAACAUGAAUUUGUCUUUGAUGCUGUGCUGAACGAAGAUGUUUCAAAUGAUGAAGUAUAUGCCGAGACUGUGGAGCCAAUUGUUCCGCUCAUUUUCCAACGAACAAAAGCAACUUGCUUUGCAUAUGGUCAAACUGGCAGUGGGAAGACAUAUACUAUGCAACCUUUGCCUCUCAAAGCUUCACAAGAUAUUUUAAGAUUAAUGCACAACACCUACUGGAAUCAAGGUUUCCAAUUGUUUGUUAGUUUCUUCGAAAUAUAUGGGGGAAAACUUUUUGAUCUCCUCAAUGAUCGAAAAAAACUUUUCAUGAGGGAGGAUGGGAAACAACAGGUUUGCAUUGUUGGCUUGCAAGAAUAUAGAGUAUCUAAAGUAGAGACAAUCAACGAAUUUAUUGAGAAAGGAAAUGCCUCAAGAAGUACUGGCACAACUGGAGCAAAUGAGGAAUCCUCUAGAUCACAUGCUAUACUUCAGCUUUGCAUUAAGAGAUCAGUUGACGGGACUGAAUCAAAGCCUGCUCGACUUGUGGGAAAACUUUCUUUUAUAGAUCUGGCUGGAAGUGAACGAGGUGCAGAUACUACAGAUAAUGACAAGCAGACUAGGAUUGAAGGGGCAGAAAUAAAUAAAAGUUUACUUGCUCUGAAGGAAUGCAUUAGAGCUUUGGACAAUGACCAAGGGCAUAUCCCUUUCAGAGGAAGUAAAUUGACGGAAGUUCUGCGAGAUUCUUUUGUUGGUAAUUCGCGCACUGUAAUGAUAUCAUGCAUUUCACCUAGCUCAGGUUCGUGCGAGCAUACUCUUAACACGUUAAGAUAUGCUGACAGAGUGAAGAGCCUGUCAAAAGGGAACAACUCUAGAAGGGAUCCUCUUUCUUCCUCAAACUUGAGAGAGUCCACUGUGUUGCCUGGGUCUUCAAUUUUAGCUCACGAUGAUACCUUGGAGGAUGAAAUAACGCAUGUUUCCAGUGACAGGAAUCGAUUUGGUUGGCCCAAACAUUCAGAAAGAGAACCCUCUCCUCCAAAUAAUGUGGACCGUGUCCCAAGUGGUAGAAUGGGGGGAAAUUUGGCGCCAUCUGUGUAUUCUGAUCCACCAAACGGUCCAAGAGGUAGUCAAAAUGACAGAACCGCAAAUGAAUAUGAUUACAUAGGACCCAUAUAUGAACAAGACAGAACAAGAAAAACGAUUAAGAGGGUGGAUAACAACCACUUAUCAGGUUUUGAGGAGAAGAAGAAGAUAGAAUCUCGUGUUAAUGUUGAUGCAUCACAUUUUCAGACUAAUCAUUCUGAUCCGGAUGAUAAUUUAAAUGCCCUCCUGAAGGAAGAGGAAGAUCUAGUAACAGCUCAUCGUAGACAGGUGGAGGAAACCAUAGACAUUGUUAGAGAGGAGAUGAAUUUACUUGCUGAAGCGGACCAACCAGGAAAUCAAUUGGAUGAUUAUAUUUCCAGAUUGAAUACCCUUUUAUCACAAAAGGCUACAGGAAUCUUUCAAUUGCAGACACAGUUGGCUCAGUUUCAGAGACGUUUAAACGAGUAUAAUGUUUUCGUAUCUUCUAGUAAUUGAUGGUGCCACUGUGGAAAUGAUUGGUGUGUCGUGGAUGAAGAAUUCUUCGUGCUCUUAGAUUUCGCUUCUAUGAUUUCAUUGGCGUGGUUUGUUUCUCAUUUGUUAGAGUGUUGAUGUUGACAAGAUUAUUGUGGAUUUUGGGGUGCCGAAAUAGGAAUCAAACCCGUCUUUGUUCUACACUUACUUGUUUUGACGGGUCACUGUUGUGACCUGAACUAUGUACACACAUAGAAAUGUGCUCUGUAGUGAUUCGGGUUAAUGAGUAAAGGAUAAAGAAUGAAGAGUCACUGCAAUCCCGGUGAAAUGCCUUGAUCGUUGUUUCCUUUGGCUUCAGUAGAUGUCAUGGUGUGCUUGUCAGAAAUUCAUUCUUAUUUGAAUUAUUAUCAGCAGUACAAAAUCCCCUCUAGUCAUAAUCUGUGGGUUGUUUCUUUGUUGCUUUCUUUUUAAAAUAUUUCCAAGCACACGCAGAUAAAUCAAUUAGUUUGGUACCCCUUGUAAUUGAUAAUUUCAUACGUAAGUUGCAAAGUUCCAAUU
RNA transcript from Vigna unguiculata (cowpea), 2900 nucleotides. It is a transcript of the gene named kinesin-like protein KIN-13B, with no coding region annotated. The record is from RefSeq and is a predicted model, not a curated record. Lineage: Eukaryota; Viridiplantae; Streptophyta; Magnoliopsida; Fabales; Fabaceae.